This 253-nucleotide ribosomal RNA is filed under the name uncultured bacterium. RNAcentral describes it as "partial 16S ribosomal RNA". It matches the Rfam family "Bacterial small subunit ribosomal RNA", at positions 524 to 776 of the family's 1533-position model. The record is from RNAcentral.
UACGGGGGGGGCAAGCGUUGUUCGGAAUUACUGGGCGUAAAGGGCUCGUAGGCGGCCAACUAAGUCGGAUGUGAAAUCCCCAGGCUUAACCUGGGAACUGCAUCCGAUACUGGAUGGCUUGAAUCCGGGAGAGGGAUGCGGAAUUCCAGGUGUAGCGGUGAAAUGCGUAGAUAUCUGGAGGAACACCGGUGGCGAAGGCGGCAUCCUGGACCGGCAUUGACGCUGAGACGCGAAAGCUAGGGUAGCAAACAGG